This 425-nucleotide ribosomal RNA is filed under the name uncultured bacterium. RNAcentral describes it as "partial 16S ribosomal RNA". It matches the Rfam family "Bacterial small subunit ribosomal RNA", at positions 354 to 796 of the family's 1533-position model. The record is from RNAcentral.
GUGGGGAAUCUUGCGCAAUGGGCGAAAGCCUGACGCAGCCAUGCCGCGUGAAUGAUGAAGGUCUUAGGAUUGUAAAAUUCUUUCACCGGGGACGAUAAUGACGGUACCCGGAGAAGAAGCUCCGGCUAACUUCGUGCCAGCAGCCGCGGUAAUACGAAGGGGGCUAGCGUUGCUCGGAAUUACUGGGCGUAAAGGGCGCGUAGGCGGACAGCUUAGUCAGAGGUGAAAGCCCAGGGCUCAACCUUGGAAUUGCCUUUGAUACUGGCUGACUUGAGUUUGGGAGAGGUGAGUGGAACUCCGAGUGUAGAGGUGAAAUUCGUAGAUAUUCGGAAGAACACCAGUGGCGAAGGCGACUCACUGGCCCAAUACUGACGCUGAGGUGCGAAAGCGUGGGGAGCAAACAGGAUUAGAAACCCCGGUAGUCC